This is a small nuclear RNA of Echinops telfairi (small Madagascar hedgehog), 102 nucleotides long. The record is from Ensembl. NCBI's taxonomy places the organism in Eukaryota, Metazoa, Chordata, Mammalia, Afrosoricida, Tenrecidae.
GUGCUCUCUUUGCAGCACGGACAGUAAAUUGAGUGAUAAAGAGAGGAGCAUGGCCUCUACACAAGGAUGACACGGAAAUUCACUAAAGCUUUCCAUAUUAAA